AUGAACGCUAGCGGCAGGCUUAACACAUGCAAGUCGAGGGGCAGCGGGAUGUAGCAAUACAUUGCCGGCGACCGGCGCAAGGGUGCGUAACGCGUGAGCAACAUGCCCGUCACAGGAGGAUAAACCAUGGAAACGUGGCCUAAUACUCCAUAGUAUGUUUUUGAGGCAUCUCAAUUACAUUAAAGCUUCGGUGGUGACGGAUUGGCUCGCGUGACAUUAGCUAGAUGGAGAGGUAACGGCUCACCAUGGCGACGAUGUCUAGGGGAACUGAGAGGAAGGUCCCCCACACUGGAACUGAGACACGGUCCAGACUCCUACGGGAGGCAGCAGUGAGGAAUAUUGGUCAAUGGACGCAAGUCUGAACCAGCCAAGUAGCGUGAAGGAUGACUGCCCUAUGGGUUGUAAACUUCUUUUAUACGGGAAUAAAAGACAUUACGUGUAGUGUUUUGCAUGUACCGUUAUGAAUAAGCAUCGGCUAAUUCCGUG
This 486-nucleotide ribosomal RNA is filed under the name uncultured bacterium. Its description in RNAcentral is "bacterial SSU rRNA". It matches the Rfam family "Bacterial small subunit ribosomal RNA", at positions 29 to 507 of the family's 1533-position model. The record is from RNAcentral.